GAUUGAACGCUGGCGGCAGGCCUAACACAUGCAAGUCGAGCGGAUGAAGGGAGCUUGCUCCUGGAUUCAGCGGCGGACGGGUGAGUAAUGCCUAGGAAUCUGCCUGGUAGUGGGGGAUAACGUCCGGAAACGGGCGCUAAUACCGCAUACGUCCUGAGGGAGAAAGUGGGGGAUCUUCGGACCUCACGCUAUCAGAUGAGCCUAGGUCGGAUUAGCUAGUUGGUGGGGUAAAGGCCUACCAAGGCGACGAUCCGUAACUGGUCUGAGAGGAUGAUCAGUCACACUGGAACUGAGACACGGUCCAGACUCCUACGGGAGGCAGCAGUGGGGAAUAUUGGACAAAGGGCGAAAGCCUGAUCCAGCCAUGCCGCGUGUGUGAAGAAGGUCUUCGGAUUGUAAAGCACUUUAAGUUGGGAGGAAGGGCAGUAAGUUAAUACCUUGCUGUUUUGACGUUACCAACAGAAUAAGCACCGGCUAACCUCGUG
This 485-nucleotide ribosomal RNA is filed under the name uncultured bacterium. Its description in RNAcentral is "partial 16S ribosomal RNA". It matches the Rfam family "Bacterial small subunit ribosomal RNA", at positions 27 to 507 of the family's 1533-position model. The record is from RNAcentral.